GAUGAAGAACGUAGCGAAACGCGAUAUGUAAUGUGAAUUGCAGAAUUCAGUGAAUCAUCGAAUCUUUGAACGCACACGGCGCCUUCCAGUAUCCUGGGAGGCAUGCCUGUCCGAGCGUCGUUUCGACCCUCGAGCCCCCGUGGCCCGGCGUUGGGGAUCUGCCCAGGCAGUCCCCGAAAACCAGUGGCGGACCCGUUACAGGCCCUUCCCUUGCGUAGUAGCAUUCGCCUCGCAUCGGGAGCCGGCGGGCUUCCAGCCUCUAAACCCCCAUCAAGUCCGCCCCGGCGGCACCAAGGUUGACCUCGGAUCAGGUAGGAAUACCCGCUGAACUUAAGCAUAUCAAUAACGGAGGA
RNAcentral lists this unclassified non-coding RNA (353 nucleotides) under soil metagenome. RNAcentral's name for it is "partial contains 5.8S ribosomal RNA, internal transcribed spacer 2, and large subunit ribosomal RNA". The stretch from base 1 to 120 matches the Rfam family "5.8S ribosomal RNA", at positions 35 to 154 of the family's 154-position model. The record is from RNAcentral.